GUUUCGGACAGGUAAUGGCGGACAUGCGAUAGUUCGGGCUGACUUAUAUUCCAACAUAGGAAGUGUUAUAAACAGCUGAUCGGAUCGGCAAAGCCUGUUUCUGGAAUAUUGUGUUUUUGUUGCUGCAAGUCUGGAAUAUUAUGUUUUUGUUGCUGGAAGUGCUUUUUAUGCAAUUUUUUGCAAAGCUAUAUGUGGAAGAAAACCGUGACCUAGGGCAAGCUAAUGGAAUAAGAUAUGGCAGGAGUGACGCCCACUGUGGUCUUCUGCUGCUGCUUCAUCCGUUUUAAGGUUCAACUUGACACCCACGUGUGCUCUUCUGCAAACCUUGGCUGUAUCAGUUGCUCCAGGUUUGUUGGCAGAUUUGUUGGCUCCUCUUCUAUCACAUCUCGACAGGUGUCCAAAGCAGGCUGGCCAUUCUUCUCUGACCUCUGGCAUCAACAAGGCACGUCCACCAAGAGAACUGCUGUUCACUGCAUAAUUUCUCUUGUUCAGACUAUUCUCUAUAAACCCUAAAGAUGGUUGUGUGGGGAAAAAACCCAGUAAAUCAGCAGCUUCUGAAAUGUUCAGACCUGGUUUAUGGUUGAACAAUGCUUAUGAUGGUACUUAUAGGGAAAAGGAAAACAAUCCUCAUCACAUUUUUAAAUGUAAGAUAAGAGGACAGUUGAAUAGUGUAUCAUACAUGAUCUGCACCAAUAUAAUACAAAUAAAAAUAUAAAAAGGCAAGAUAAAGCCACUAUACAGCACUUUUCUACUCUGAGCACUCAAAGCCCUUUGCACAACUUGCCUCAUUCACACAAGCACUUUUUCUAUGCUCUUUCUACAUACGUGCUUUCUAUCUAACAUGCACACACAUUCAUACUAUGAUGAAUGCAUUGGAGAGCAACUUGGGAUUAGUAUUUUGCCCAAGGAUAUUGGGCAUGCAGAUAGGAGGGAUCGAACCACUAACCUUUUGAUCAGCAGAUAACCUGUUCCUUAUAUCUACCACUAAAGCCUCUUUUCCAUUAGUAUCUACUCGGUUUGACUUGACUCAACUCUACUGGGUUUUGGUCGUUUUCCAUUACAACUGAGCACUAUACCGGUAUCUAUACCGACUCGGCCAAAAGUCUCAGGAUGUCAUUUGUAUGCACCACAAAUACAGCAGAACAAUGGAGGACGUUGAGGCAAUUCUAUACCUGCUGCUUGGUGUAUGGCUUUCUGUCAGACUCGGUGAUCACGGUGUUGGUUUGUGUGUAGCCAUUUCCCUCCUUGCCA
This is a long non-coding RNA of Oreochromis aureus, 1251 nucleotides long. Lineage: Eukaryota; Metazoa; Chordata; Actinopteri; Cichliformes; Cichlidae. The record is from Ensembl.